GCAGCCGCGGUAAGACAGAGGUGGCAAGCGUUGUUCGGAUUUACUGGGCUUAAAGGGCGUGUAGGCGUCCCGAUAAGUCAGAUGUGGAAGCCUUGGGCUCAACCCAAGAAUUGCAUUUGAAACUGUCGGGAUUGAGUCGUGCAUGGGAGGGCGGAAUUCCUGGUGUAGCGGUGAAAUGCGUAGAUAUCAGGAGGAAGGCCUGUGGUGAAGAUGGCCCUCUGGGCAAUGACUGACGCUGAGGCGCGAAAGCGUGGGGAGCAAACAGGAUUAGAUACCCUGGUAGUCCACGCCCUAAACGGUGCGUACUAGGUGUGGGUGGCGAUAGUCAUCCGUGCCGUAGGGAAACCAUUAAGUACGCCGCCUGGGGAGUACGGCCGCAAGGUUGAAACUCAAAGAAAUUGACGGGGGCCCGCACAAGAAGUGGAGCAUGUGGUUUAAUUCGACGCUACCCGAAAAACCUUACCUGGGCUUGACAUAUAAGAUAGUAGUGAACUGAAAAGGGAACCGAAUUCUAGCAAUAGGAAAGCUUACACAGGUGCCUGCAUGGCUUGUCG
This 554-nucleotide ribosomal RNA is filed under the name uncultured bacterium. Its description in RNAcentral is "bacterial SSU rRNA". It matches the Rfam family "Bacterial small subunit ribosomal RNA", at positions 511 to 1054 of the family's 1533-position model. The record is from RNAcentral.